GGGUCCAACCUCCCACCCGUGUUUAACGAACCUUGUUGCUUCGGCGGGCCCGCCUCACGGCCGCCGGGGGGCAUCCGCCCCCGGGCCCGCGCCCGCCGAAGACACCUGUGAACACUGUCUGAAGUUGCAGUCUGAGAAACUAGCUAAAUUAGUUAAAACUUUCAACAACGGAUCUCUUGGUUCCGGCAUCGAUGAAGAACGCAGCGAAAUGCGAUAAAUAAUGUGAAUUGCAGAAUUCAGUGAAUCAUCGAGUCUUUGAACGCACAUUGCGCCCUCUGGUAUUCCGGAGGGCAUGCCUGUCCGAGCGUCAUUGCUGCCCUCAAGCACGGCUUGUGUGUUGGGCCCCCGUCCCCCCCACCGGGGGGACGGGCCCGAAAGGCAGCGGCGGCACCGCGUCCGGUCCUCGAGCGUAUGGGGCUCUGUCACCCGCUCUUGUAGGCCCGGCCGGCGCCAGCCGACCCCCCUCAAUCUAUUUUUUCAGGUGACCUCGGAUCA
RNAcentral lists this unclassified non-coding RNA (495 nucleotides) under Penicillium sp. 6 DT-2020. Its description in RNAcentral is "sequence contains ITS1, 5.8S rRNA gene, ITS2". The stretch from base 157 to 310 matches the Rfam family "5.8S ribosomal RNA". The record is from RNAcentral. Lineage: Eukaryota; Fungi; Ascomycota; Eurotiomycetes; Eurotiales; Aspergillaceae.